GACGAACGCUGGCGGCGUGCUUAACACAUGCAAGUCGAACGGAAAGGCCCUGCUUUUGUGGGGUGCUCGAGUGGCGAACGGGUGAGUAACACGUGAGUAACCUGCCCUUGACUUUGGGAUAACUUCAGGAAACUGGGGCUAAUACCGGAUAGGAGCUCCUGCUGCAUGGUGGGGGUUGGAAAGUUUCGGCGGUUGGGGAUGGACUCGCGGCUUAUCAGCUUGUUGGUGGGGUAGUGGCUUACAAAGGCUUUGACGGGUAGCCGGCCUGAGAGGGUUACCGGCCACAUUGGGACUGAGAUACGGCCCAGACUCCUACGGGAGGCAGCAGUGGGGAAUAUUGCACAAUGGGCGGAAGCCUGAUGCAGCAACGCCGCGUGCGGGAUGACGGCCUUCGGGUUGUAAACCGCUUCCGCCUGUGACGAAGCGUGAGUGACGGUAAUGGGUAAAGAAGCACCGGCUAACUACGUG
Molecule: ribosomal RNA, 468 nt
Filed under: uncultured bacterium
Lineage: Bacteria
Description: partial 16S ribosomal RNA
Rfam family: Bacterial small subunit ribosomal RNA
Source: RNAcentral